This is a long non-coding RNA of Folsomia candida, 11071 nucleotides long. RefSeq lists it as uncharacterized. Lineage: Eukaryota; Metazoa; Arthropoda; Collembola; Entomobryomorpha; Isotomidae. The record is from RefSeq and is a predicted model, not a curated record. The transcript has 2 exons.
GCGGGGUAUUGAAUUCCAUGACAUAGAAGUGGAAAGGGAUUUUGCUUGUUAUUGGAAUUUAAAGGAUACCAAAGUUCUACACAAAUUUGCAUCCUUAGUUUUUUAGAGAGGAAAUAUACUCUUUUCUGCAUCAUAGGAUAAACAUUAGGAUCAUAGCAAAUAUGGGACCUGCAGUAAGAUCAACGCCCAUUUAACUGUGUUGCUGUCUUGUUAUGGUUUAUAACUGGAAAAUAUUCAUAUUAUUGUUGCAUUUAUAUUCCUCAACUUUUUAAUAAAAAGUAACCUUUCUACGACAAAUAGAACUAUAAAGCUGUAUUUUAUAGUUUUUAACUACCUGAGUGCAUAGGGAUUCUGCGAGUCCAUCCAUAUGGCUCUAGAAAUCUAAGUACUAAACUACGACGCGUUGCACACGGGCAACAAAUUCACCGAAUAGUUUCCGAGGUCAACUGAGACAAAUGAUGCGUACGACUUACACAAAAAUAAGGGCAGGGUAAACUGAGACUAUUGCUCAAAAUGUUAUCGCUCUACGGCGAAAUAAAACUGUUUCUGUAGAGAAAUAUGAGUCGGCUCAGUGGCGGACAAAAGGGGCUACUCUGGCCUAUAAAAAUUCAUCCCGCUGUACAGUCGGGGCAUAACAUGUCUUCACAAAACUGCAAUGUAAUGAGGGAGCGACCCUAGGUGAAGUGAGCGUUUCGCCUUCUCUGAAAUAUGUUGAAUCAAAUAUUUUUAAAUAUAUUUCAUAUUCUCUUGCAGAUUAAAGUACUUACAAGUUUUCUUGUGAUUACGACCCAUAUUUGUGCUAUCUCUGCUCAGGAUAUGUUGAAUAAAACGAGCAAAAUAAGCUCUGGGUUCAAGAGAACCAGUGAGCUGUACACACUCCACCGCAAGCACCUUAUCUUCGCGGUUAACAACAUUUGCAUGAAAGGCAGUUGUUGAAUUUUUCUACCGCCUUUUCAAUUGAUCGGAGCUGCUUCGUUAUUUGGUUAUAGAAAUAAGUGAAUACGUAUUUCCAUCUUCCAACACGAGUAUACACAGAUGGAACCGUUAAUCAUACUAAUAUUUUAGAUAUUCUACACUAUUCCAGUGGGCUUGAAUACAAUUUUAAUGCAAUUUUGGUAAUUUUCCGACGUCUGUAAAGGUAACCAUUUUAGUAAUUUUCCGGCAUAGGUAUGUCUAGUAAUUGUAAGGAUUUUUUAUUGAUGCUGUUAAAAAUAAACUAUAACACCAAUAUAAUUUCCCUACUCUGUCUAACCAAACUCUGCUAAAAUGUAACUCCUUCUCGUCACUAAUAUCUGUUCAUAACAGCUGUUCGAAUACAAAACAAGUACAUGGUGUGUACUUGGUUUGUACCACCACAAUACAACAAUAUUCGUAAUAUUUACCUACCAUAUCAAGCCACCCAGAUUCCUCAGGGGACACCUCCAUCAAGGAAUCAGGAGGCCGGUAGUCAUCAUCACUCUCGUCAUCCUCCGAAGAAGUCCUCAGCACCUCCUCCCGCGCUAAAUCUUCAAGGAUCCCACACGGUCUCGGGCACCAUCCUCGAAGUUACGCUGUUUAGAAGGUCCGUAGGGACUUGUAGGGACUUCUUCCAUCGAAGGGGGGGAUACCCGACUACCAAAACACGCAAACAACCAUAUCAAAUGAAAAGCGCAGCUUUUAAGAAUGCAACCCAUCCCUCCUUCCUCUCAUUAAUCGUGACUGCCUCAGGACAUUGAUGGAUUAAUCCUCCACUGGGUCAGAGUCACGCGCAAACUCCCCCAACUCGAAUGAAAGUUUCGGAAUCCAUCGAGUUUGAUAGAUGCCUUCCCUAUCCUGGCGAUCCGUCACCAGGAACCUCAUAUGAGGUCCUACCACAACCCUGUAAAAACAAACAAAUGAUUCCUCGUACAUCCCCGCACCCACCUACUCCAACAGCUUUUCCUAAACCCCCCUCCCCGAACGAAUAAAAACCUCUCGGCUUACUCAAACUCCGGGUCCCUAGGCGACUGGCCCAACUUCAUCUCCUCCGGUAGAUACUCCCGGUAAAGAUUCAAGUUAUCCCGGGGUGGAAACAAGGCUAUUUCUCCCGACCAACUAGGAUGACGGAGGAUGACCCCGCAUCCGGCCUUCAGACACAGCUCCCCGGGAUUAUGUUCCUCCGAGGGCCCAUAUUCCGAGAUCCAGCACGCGAACCGGACACCACGAAUCCUCUCAGUCAAGAAAAACCGCCGCCCCCUUCCCCACGACACACUACAAAACCAUACAACCCUACUUAGGACUACCCCCCAUAAUUGGCUCUCGUAAUAAAAGAUACACGAGUACAUAAAUACAUAAAUACAUCCAAAACGUACAUUUUUCCACCGGUGGAUCCGCCCCCCACACCUCCAGGCCGACCAGACAUGACUCCCCGCCCUUCCGACCCCAAGCACGAAUCCUCGACUUCCAUCAUCAUCUUACAGGCUUAAAAAAAAAACAAUAUCUUCUAAUUUUACUAAUUAAAACUUUUUCACACGUUGUAUUGUUUUCAACCAACAUUUAACAUAUAUUUAUCCUCCUUUGUUAUUUUUAGAUUUACCUCGCCUACGAAAUUUUUUUAAGUAUAAGUUACUGUAGUGUAUGUUUAAAUGUACGUAAUUGUAAGUUUAAAGAUAAGUAUACGUAUUAGUUAGAAUCCACAUAUUUCACUGUGGUAUAUUCUUUAUAUAAUAGCACACCUAAGUUAAGCUAAUUUUUUUGUUACUUUUGAUUUUAUUUAGAAGUAUACCCCACGUCAAUUUUAUUAAUUAUUUUCCUAAUUUGGUCUAUUGUUGGUCCAACCUUUGUUAAGUUUUGCUUCAAAUUCAUAUUUCCCUCUUUGACGCUAUUUUAAUUUUUUUUCUCACCUAAGGGCUGGUAUUUUUCCAAUCCUCAACAAUUGUUAAUUCUAUUUAUUUUAAGUUUCCCUCACUUCAGUCCGCUGUUUUUAUUGUUGUGCAUUUGUUAUAUUAUUCUUAUACUACCUCACCUAAGUUUAAACUGCCAUUAGCUAAGAUUAUUCUAAUUCGCCAAUCAUUAACUCUAAAUUUUCCCUCUCAGGCCUUUCCUCGCCUGAGUUUAACUUUUCGAUAAUUAUUAAUUUUAUUUUGACCUCACCUAGGUUCAUAGAUUUUAUCAUUGUUGAUUUAAAUUUUAAUUUUCACCGCCCCUAAAUUUAGGCCUUUUUUCAUGCUAAUUUUUAAUUCGUGCUCACCUACGAUAAGCAAUAGUUCACGAUAUUAAUAAUUAUAUUCCACCUAAGCAUAAUUAGGUUUACCAAUAUUUGUUACUUUUCCCUUUUUAUUGUCUUUUUUUUUCCUAGCCUAAGAUUAGCUAUUUUUAUUUAAAAAAAAUUUUUUUUAAUUAUUUUUUUGCCUAAGAUUAGCUAUUUUUAAGAUUUAUUUUCAAUUUAAUUUUAAUUAUUUUUUUUCUAGCCUAAGAUUCACUAUUUUUAUUUUUAAAUUCAACUUUAAUUUUCCUCACCUAAGUUUCCAUGACAGUUUGUAAUCUACACUUUUAAUAAUUUUUCCAACCUAAGCUAUCAAUUUUUGUUAUGUAAUUUUGUCAUACAUACUUCCCAGAAUUGUCUAACCAUUUUCCAGCCCUAUGCACUUUGUAUAUUUUAAACAUUUUGCCAUGUCAUUUAGUGCCCCUCGGCAUGGCACAACUCUGUUUCAUGCACUUACACUAAUACGUACGGAAUUUUCUUACCUUACGUUACGAUUGCGGGAUCCACCACUGAAAAAAAACUGGACAGUUGAAAACUUGCAGAAAGUACGCACAAGCACUGCCACCACUGAAAUUUGGACAACUGCAAAAUAGACGCACGAUCACUCACACCACUGACAAUUGGAAACUUGCAGGAACAACGCACAAGCUCUUCCUCCACUGAAAAUUGGCAAAUUACAGAACCAAGACGCUCGACCACUCUCACACAGGAACGGAUGCAGUCGAAUCUUUCAUUUAUAUCCCUAUUUUUCCCAUCGUUUAACUUCCUGGACGAAGGCCCUCGUCCUAGAUCGCAUGGAGUUGAAAAGCGCAGCUUUUAAGAAUGCAACCCAUCCCUCCUUCCUCUCAUUAAUCGUGACUGCCUCAGGACAUUGAUGGAUUAAUGUCGCGAUCAUCAUCGCGAAUCUUCUCUCUCAAGAUACAAGUUCUUAGACACAGGAAUGGAAACCCACUUUCCAUUCCUGUCUAUCUGACCGACGGACCAAUGACGAUAUAGCAUAUAGGUAUACUCAUUAGGUACCAGUUUACUAUAUAAACUGGCAGCAGCCACAGCACUGGGGUCGUUACUGGUAGAACGAGUCCUGACUGCUGCUGGCCUGAUCCAACCUCUUUGCUAUUGUGCGUCUGCAAGAAAUAAAGAGAAUAAAAGUUGAUCUGCUGAAUCUCAACCUGUCUCAAGUCGAGCCAUUUAUUUCCUCAUCUCCUCAUCUCAUCUCAUCUCCAAGUGACCCAGCUUCCUAGCCCCAGCGGGGUCAUUGAAAGGGGCUAAAUCACAUUUAGCACAUUUCACAAACCACCCCUUCCUCCUCUUUUCACGACGGUCAACUGCACAUACCAAAAUCAUUGACCUAUGGUCCAUGAUGAACUGAAGUGUCACAUAUUCCACAUGCUCGGGACGGAAAAUUCACCCGCAGGGGUUCUUCUGGACAGCCUUCCUCAGCCCCACUGAAAAACAUACACAAAUAAAUACCAAGUCACAUAACAACAAAGAUCCCCUACUCUCUUGGCCUCCUGUCCUCCCGUCGGAGUUUAUUUCAGUCGAUACCCCGAUCCAUCACGAGGUAGAGCCUCCAGACAGGUCCUCCGAGGAGCAAAAUAACAUAACCCAAUGAGGGUAUCCACUCAAUUGAACCAUUACGUUCGGGGAACCCUCAACCACGAGGAGACGCGUGGACAAAAACUCCAACUUGGUCCACGUCGGGUCCGGCACCGAUGGAGCACAAGACUCCCACACCGCUACCAAGGCCUCUGGCUCAUCCAUUCCAAUCGCCCAAUCCGGGACUCCCGUUCUCGUUCCAAGGAUUUGCUGCUCUUGAAAUUACAUUAUAUGGAUCAUUAAGCUCAGUAUCGUGUAGUAUGAAAUCGUGCAUACUACAUAGAUUUGAAUCCCAGAAGUCUGGUCGAAACAUGACGUAUGCUGUAUAUAGGUACGUGUUACAGCUAACAUGCAUCAGACCACUUACAUUUCUAGAAUCCUUUAUUUAUUGCUCAAUAAAUGUCGGUGACAAAUUUUUGGUCAAAUUGAAAUUCUGCCGUGCAAUUGAAAUACGCCAAUAAGGAUGUUCAUAUUAUCCCCACAAGUGGCUAACCUCGUUGCACGAAUAGAUGUUGAUGUGAAAUAAUGUACGAGUAAUUGAGAUGUGGUGGAGACUGUUUAUUAAUAAUGUCGAAUUGUGGUAGGCAGGCAGCAGCAUACUGUGAAGUUCCGUUUAUGGGGGGUUGACUGCAGUGAUGGUAGUGAUGAGGCAGAUGAGACGAUCGUCGUCGUUGUUGUGGUGUGUGCGUAAUAAUUGUGAGGCGAGAUGAGACUUGAUUGCACUUUUCUUAUAGAGGUUUUAUUCAUUACUUGUACAACAGGCAGAACUCUGCCUCGCCCAAUAAUAUUGGGAGAGGUAACCUGCAGUAGCACAAAAUACUUCCUCGACCGUCCUCCUUUUAUGGUGGCUGCGCUUUCGCUUAUAUAUCCUAGCAAUACCUAAUUGAUACCUAUGUGUUGACCGAUUAUGAACCGGUUGGCUACGCUGAAUAGAGAUAUCUCAGAUGAGGUUGUGACGAAGCUGUUUUCCAACAUUGUCUCUGGUUUGUAAGAGAUGAUGGAGGUGAGCGGCAUACUAAUUAAGGCAACAUUGUCUCUGGUUUGUAUGAGAUGAUGGAGGUGAGCGGCAUACUAAUUAAGGGGUUUGGCAUUAAUGAAGUUGACCAAACCUGCUCUUUCACAAUACACAAGGUUACCAUUGUAUCAAUUCUUGGUCAGUUGUUGGACACCUUUCGUUCCUUUUCCGUUGCUUCUAUUUGGAACACAUGUUGAAUCUAGAUGUAAAUUAAGCAAUGGGAUGGGCAGAGAAACCACUAGUUCUGAACAUCUUUUAUUGAAGCUUAACUCAAAACUACAACCCUAUACAAAGUAGUUAAUAAUUUGCAUAACUUAAUGACGUUUAAAUCAGUUCGCAAUUGUAACUGCGAAACACUGGACAAUGUUUGCGAACAUAGAAUUUGAGUAUACGAAAAACGUGACGGUGCUUUCGUACAAUAAUGGCGGUAUACACAAAUGUGCGAUGAAGGUAACUAACUAAAAUUUUUACCCUAUUACUGAAGUGUUCCCCUGGGGGAGAAAUCAACGUAAUGUUUGCAAAAACACGGGAACUCGAGAGGUAGGUUGGGAACCCAGUAGGCGUAGGGCCGACCCCGGGUUAUGUAGAAAGUCAUCCCCGGUCCGUAAUUAACCCUAACACACGUCCAAAAACCCAAGUUGAAUUAAGUGGAAAACACUUCAAAGUUCCACCUGAAAUCAAUUUAAAACAAUCCGCACCUAAGUUAGCAUAAUUGAAAACCACAGAAAAGGUCGGCAAUUACAUUUACUAUACCAGGAAAUUACAUGGUAGCCAUAGAAGCCAGGUUUUUGGUUACAAACUUCCCAAUAAAUAAUGAAAAAAAUGGGAAUAAAUCAAUAACAUAUAUGCGCUAAUUUUAAGAAUAUUUUAAAUUAAGCUCACCUUAAUUUGAAUAUAGUGUUCUAUAACACUACUUGGUUUUAUGCACAUUGUGAAGUCAACCAAAGAAAUCUAGACUACAUGAAAAUUCUACAAUUUCCAAACUUUGUUAGAACACGGAUUUGAUAAAGAAAACUUUUCAUAAUUAAAGCAUCCCUUCCUUUUGAAAGACAUAGCUUAAACCUGCUUGUAUGUAAAUGUUGACCACAUCAUUGUAUGAUGUUGAGUCCUACACUUUCUCAUUUAUGGCAAUAUGAGCACGCAAAUUUGGAUGUGCAUUUCUUGUUAGGCUGAGUUCCAAGGCAAUUAUGCAACGAUUAAUUCUUCAAAGCCUUGAAGUUCAUGCCUUGCUUCUUUUCAUAAACCAAAACGUUAAUGCAAGCCGUACAUAUAUAAGGAACUUACUCUCCUUAUAAUCCAUGAUAAUAACAGAUGUUAGGUAAUGAAAUGUGCUAAAUGUAAUUUAGCCCUUUCGAUGACCCCACAAUGGCCAGGGAGCUGGGUCACUUAGAGAUGAGAUGAGGGGAGGAGAAGAUGCGAAAUGAAUGGUCUCGACUUGAGAGAUAUGUUGAGAAUUAAUAGAUCGACUUUUAUGCUCUUACUCAUGCACAAUUAUAAUGUUAUUGCGGCAGGCCAGCAGCAACAGUCAAGAAACUUGUCCUACAACGACAACCCCUUGUACUGUGGCUGUUGCCCCUUUAUAUAGUAAACAUGUACCUAUAAGAAUACCUACAAACUAUAUCGUUACUGGUCCGUCGGUCCGAUAGACAAGUCUUAGAAAGUGGGAUGUGAGAUGACUUGUAACUUGUGAGAGAUGUGACAUUAAUCACUUGAUGCCCUGAGGAAAUCAUGAUUAAUGAGAAGAAAGAUGUGAAUACUGAUGAGGUUCACCUAUUAUGUCAAAAGUUGCACUUUUCAGUAACCUUGGCUAGCCCGCCUUAGGUUUUUUUAGGUUGUGACUAGUUGUGAGAUUUAGAACUGGUAUUUCAUUCAUCCAAUUGAAGUCAACUAAUCGUGGAUCGGCGACCACACUGACGUGACGAUUGUAAAAUGUUCAAUCAGCAAUUUUCAAUUUGUACACUCUGUUUGUCGCAAAUCCGUAACCAAUUGUUGAAAUUAUCUACACAGCUUUUCAAUUGAUGGAAUCUGCGUCGUUAUUUGGUCCUAGGAAUCAGUAAAAUUAGGAGUUAAAAAUUAUCUACAUAUAACACCAACACGAUUUCCUGGCAAGAGGUAUAUUGGGGAAGUUAUCGCCAAUCGGGUGGGUGAAAUACGACAGUAUAACCGAAGCCCAAACUGUAAGCAGUCGAUGUUAGGUUGGCCUGAAUCUCAUCAAAACCCAAGUGGAUAAAAAUUGGGUCAAAUGUGAUUCUUUAUUCGUCGACCCUGCCUGAGUGCUUCAAACAAACCAGUUACCAUUAAAGCUACAAACCUCCAUCAUUUAAUCCUGUUUCUGGCUAAAUACGUUCGAAUGCCACUUUCUCGAGUGGUAAGUACCCCGGCGCGGGAGACCGGGGUAUUCCCCGGCGGGGGACCAACGUGGACAAUGUGCGGAAUUCCCCUUGUAUGAAUGACGACAGAUUAUUGAUUAUCUGUGCGGAUGUGUGUGUAUGAAUCGUACAAGGUAAUCUGCCAACCACGUUUGGCCCGUCACGAAGAUUUACCGGUACCCGCGUUUGCACGAGAAAAGAGAAAAUGCAUACACUGAUGUGUAGUUUGUCUCUGAUUUAUUCAACAAAUUUGGUGUUUUUACAUACAUAUAUACCCGGAAAAUAAUAAAAGGGAAUUAUAUAGCAAACUAUUUGGUAUGUACUUGGCUAUACAUUUUCACUGGAUAUAUGAAACAAAUUGGCUGCUAAAUUAAAACUUUUAAACAGAGAUCCAAAUUAAAACUUUUAAAUCUAAAAUUAAAUUUGUUUUCAUUUAGCAUCGAGUAAAAUUACUGAUGCUACAAGUCAGACUGAAUCGUAAGCCGAUUUUUAUUGUAAAUUCGGUCUAUUCGACUUCCGAUGCCACUGAUCACCAGACACAUAAUUGAAUCGCGGUGAAAAUCCCUCCUGAAUAAUGAUAAUUAAGAAAAGAAUCAUGUUCCUCAGGCAGGUUGCCUAUCCUAACUCCAUUCUCACUCAGGAGACCCGUGUAGGAUAGCCACCUCCACGUUAGGUACCCAUUACGCGUAGUGAGUAUCGCCCACACCCCGGCUGAGGUAGAAAGUCAUGUUGAACCCAAACUUCCAACAAAACAAAACAAACCACAGCACUUGAAUAAGAUGUAUAAAUACUUACUACAUGUCCGGAAAUUCGGCUCCGGAGUUACCGAACUAGGAGGAGGUGGACAGAGUGAUGACAUCCUUCUAAAAUUAAAAUUAAUUAAAAAUAAAGUAAAAUUUAUAUAUACGUACAUAGCACAAAAUAUACAGGCAAGGCAGAAGUAAUAACUGUAUGAAUCACUAACUAUACCGCUUUUAUUAUUUCAUAACAAGGGUGUUGUUUUGAAGUAUAAUUUACCCAAAAUAUUAUUCCUUUCUCCCUCUCUCCCAAACAAUACAUACUCCAUAAAGUGUCCCACUACCCAUUAAUUGAGAUAGCCAAGCCAGCGGCGGUAGCACAUUAUAGUCUAAUUGUCGAAUUCUUACCUUAUGUUAAUGCAAUUUUGUGAAAUGACAAUUAUAGUUCCGAACAGAUCAGAUAAUUCAGAUCAGAUAUCAGAUCAGAUCAGAUAAUUGCCAGAUCAGAUACCAAAAAUAUCUGAUCUGAUUAAAAAAUCAGAUAACAGAUCAGAUCAGAUAGUCAGUCGUAAAAUCAGAUAUCUGAUCUGAAUUUUUUUCAGACAUCUGAUAUCUGUUCAGAUAUCUGAUUUUUGGUAAUUUUCUGAUUCAAUCGAGUCAAAACCGCAAGUUUUAACAGAAAAACUGCGUUUAUAAUGUUUGUUAAUACCGUGCAGCUAUAAUAAACUUGCAAAUAGACCAAAUUCUUGGUGUUUCCGUUGAUUUAAAUAUCCAGACUUCGAAUAAAAAUUUCGAAUAAUACAACUGAAAUAAUCACAAAAAUUCUAGAGUUAGACUGAGGUGAUCGGGUUAUCUUAAAAUCAUCGAGGCAAUUAACCACAAAAUUCUGAUGGAUUUACUUCAGAUUAGUAACAGUCGUGAUUUGCUAGAGGAUAUAAUUAUUUUGAUGCUUGGGUAAUUUAAUGUAAAAUUAUUUUAUGAUAUUUCGACCUCAAAUAAUAAUAUUCUUUACUAGUAACUGCUUUACUAUACCUUUAUCAAUGUGUGAAAAUAAAAAGAAGCAAAUAAAUAAUUUAACCUGAAACGUUUUUAGUAGUGUUUGCAAUAUUGACAAUUCUAUUUCAGAUAUCUGAUAUCUGAACAGAUAAAUCAGAUAUCUGAAUGUUCAGAUCAGAUAUGAGAUUUAUCUGAUCUGAAAAUUUCAGAUCAGAUCAGAUAACGAUUUUGCAUAUCUGAAAUUUUCAGAUCAGAUCAGAUAUCAGAUCAGAUACACGAUUAUCUGAUCUGUUCGGAACUAUAAUGAUAAUGCACGAAUAGACAUACAAAGGUAUACGAAUGAACAACAACUACUGCAUGAAGAAAUCUUGCAUUUUUCAUUUCGGACGUAGCCCACGCACUAUCAAAUUGGGAUGCUGUGAAGAUUUCAGUGGUAGUACUGUCCCCCACUUUGAGGGGUGAAUAUUUACAUAUAAGGGGAUUAUUAAUGGACGGUGAUUUGUUGUACAUUAAUGUAGGAUCUUGUAAUAUUAAAUAUCAAAAUAACAACAAAUAUGAUUUUUCAUGAUUAAACAAUUUUUAUGGAUUAAAUCAAUGGUAAAAUGAUUUUUCACAAAUUAUUUAUGUAAUCGGAUUGUGUAAAUUGGUUUCUAGUUUUCAAGUUCAGUACAACUUCUAGUCAAACGCGGCAGGAAAACUAGGUCCUGAAUUUGUUCGGAAAUGACUCGUUUUGGGUUCAGCUUGACUUUCUUCAAUGACUUACAUAGGGCAGUACGUUGAAAUAAAAAAAAUCAACCAAUCAAUCAAUCAACCGUAUGAUAUUUUCUCCUUUAAAUGAAGCUCUUGCACCGAAAGUUCCAAUUCGUAACCACUUUCCGGGUAGAAAAUCUAACCCAAAAUAUUUAAAUAUUGAUUAUUAUUAACUACUAAAAUUAAUUUUACCCUUUAGAAAAAUAACUACACUCUAAAUUCUAUAUUAAGAAAACUAUGCUAAAUCCAGAGUGAAGUAAAUUUGAUGAAGGAUAAAAUUUACUAUGGAUUUUGUACAAGUUCCUUAAUCUAAAAUUCAGAGGUUUCAAUAGGGUAACAUAAUUUUUAAGAUAGUGUAAAAUUACAAGUGCAUACAUAAAUUAAU